This is a non-coding RNA of Bos taurus (domestic cattle), 72 nucleotides long. The record is from Rfam. NCBI's taxonomy places the organism in Eukaryota, Metazoa, Chordata, Mammalia, Artiodactyla, Bovidae.
UCCCUUGUAGCUCAGUUGGUAAAGAAUCUGCCUCCAAUGCAGGAGAUCCGGGUUUGAUCCCUGGAUUGGGAA